CGAACGGGUGAGUAACACGUGAGGAACGUGCCCUUGACUUCGGUAUAGCUCCAGGAAACUGGUGGUAAUCCCGAAUAUGAGCCUGGCCUGCAUGGGUUGGGUUGGAAAGCUUUAUGCGGUCAGGGAUCGUCUCGCGGCCUAUCAGCUUGUUGGUGGGGUAACGGCCCACCAAGGCGAUGAUCAGUAGCCGGUCUGAGAGGAUGAACGGCCACAUUGGGACUGAGACACGGCCCAGACUCCUACGGGAGGCAGCAGUGGGGAAUCUUCCGCAAUGGACGAAAGUCUGACGGAGCAACGCCGCGUGAGUGAUGACGGCCUUCGGGUUGUAAAGCUCUGUUAAUCGGGACGAAAGGCCUUCUUGCGAAUAGUUAGAAGGAUUGACGGUACCGGAAUAGAAAGCCACGGCUAACUACGUGCCAGCAGCC
This 425-nucleotide ribosomal RNA is filed under the name uncultured Bacillota bacterium. RNAcentral describes it as "bacterial SSU rRNA". It matches the Rfam family "Bacterial small subunit ribosomal RNA", at positions 99 to 516 of the family's 1533-position model. Lineage: Bacteria; Bacillati; Bacillota. The record is from RNAcentral.